GAUGAACGCUGGCGGCGUGCUUAACACAUGCAAGUCGAACGAAACACCUUAUUUGAUUUUCUUCGGAACUGAAGAUUUGGUGAUUGAGUGGCGGACGGGUGAGUAACGCGUGGGUAACCUGCCCUGUACAGGGGGAUAACAGUCAGAAAUGACUGCUAAUACCGCAUAAGACCACAGCACCGCAUGGUGCAGGGGUAAAAACUCCGGUGGUACAGGAUGGACCCGCGUCUGAUUAGCUGGUUGGUGAGGUAACGGCUCACCAAGGCGACGAUCAGUAGCCGGCAUGAGAGAGUGAACGGCCACAUUGGGACUGAGACACGGCCCAAACUCCUACGGGAGGCAGCAGUGGGGAAUAUUGCACAAUGGGGGAAACCCUGAUGCAGCGACGCCGCGUGAGUGAAGAAGUAUUUCGGGAUGUAAAGCUCUAUCAGCAGGGAAGAAAAUGACGGUACCAGACGAAGAAGCCCCGGCUAACUACGUG
This 481-nucleotide ribosomal RNA is filed under the name uncultured bacterium. Its description in RNAcentral is "partial 16S ribosomal RNA". It matches the Rfam family "Bacterial small subunit ribosomal RNA", at positions 28 to 507 of the family's 1533-position model. The record is from RNAcentral.